Lepisosteus oculatus (spotted gar) is the source of this 119-nucleotide ribosomal RNA. Lineage: Eukaryota; Metazoa; Chordata; Actinopteri; Semionotiformes; Lepisosteidae. The record is from Ensembl.
GCCAGCAGCCAUAUCACUCUGCAACUCACAACUGGCAACCCACUGAAGCUUAGCAGGUGUGAGCCUGGUCAGUACCUGGAUGGGAGACCUCCUGGGAAAAACUAAGGUUGCUGCUGGAA